CCUCGUCCCUCUCUCUUUCUCUCUGCUGAGGUAUCUCGAUCUGUUGAAGUCUCUACAAGGUAAAACUAAUCGACUCUCUCUCUGUACAAGGUAACGGUGAGAUCGAUCUCGAUCUGUUGAAGUCCUAAAGCUAAGAUCGAUCCAAAGAGAUCAAACCAAGGUUGACCACCAAUAUCAUCCCUGUAAGCAUUAAAAGAAAGCAGCACCGAUUAAGGUGUAAGGUGCUCGGCAGGAGCUCCAAGCGAGGUGGGGAAGGAAGGGGAGAAGUGGAAGAGCGACUGAGACUAGAAAUAGAGGAUCCAGAGGGACAGUUUCUUCUCGGAAAAACAGGGGUGCCGCCCUUACUUCUUCGUUUCUGCAUUCCUAUUCGAAGUUCAAAUCAUGAAAUGCAACCUGGCAGUGUAUGAAGGGGUGGUCGAUCAUGUCUUCUUCCUGAUGCGCAAGAUACAGGGCAAAUCCUAAAUAUUUAUUCUCCUCCUAAUCAGACUGCCCUUGGUUCUUCUGUCUACCAGAAAGCAAACUUUUGAUGGAGCUAGGGUCUCCACACAAUUUUGGACGGGAAUGCGAUACUCAUUUUCUCCAUGAGGUGCUUACAAAGGAUCUAACAGAAAAAAACAGCCGCCAGACUCCCACUUCCACACCCUACCGUCUUCCCUUUCUAUGUUUAGCUGAGUAUCUUGGAGCAAGCAUAAGAAGCUGGUAGCAUUCUCUAUCUCCCAAUCCUGAAAAUUCCUGCAGAAAUGUGGUGUCCAAAUAAGAAGAGGGAGGAAGGUGAAACGUUGAGCAGUGGUAACAGUAAGAUGACAAUGGAGGGAAGCUUUGUGGAGGCAGGUUGAUGGAGAAGAAAUCUGAAAGUUUAAGCUAAGUACUUCCUGUUUGAGGAAGAGAAAGGUAGAGGAAAGCUGAGUUUGAAAAUAAGGGAAGCAAGGAGGGUUAUGGUUCUGUUGACUGGGAUAGAAGUAGUGGAAUGCCUGCAGAAGUUUGUGGAAGGGGCAAGAUUGAAUGGUAAGCAAAACAACAGGCAAGAGAUUGCAGCUGAUGAAGGUAAGAAAUAUAUAGUUGAAAGCAGAAAGAAUACAACGGGCUGCUACAUAGCUCUGGCUGAGUUUUUUAGGGAGGAAAGAAACAGCUGGUUUGUUUCCCAGCAGGAAGACAGUGUCAAGGUUGGAGGGAAGUGAGUAGUGUGCUUGAGGAAUUUUUGCUCCAUGGAGUAAAAGUAACAAAGGGGAGUCCAGGGAGGGAAGAAGGGGUGUAUCAGAGGUCCAGUAUGUCUGGAAACAUGGAGCAAGAGUCAGUAAUUGUAGCAAAAGCCAAUGGACAGUGCAGGUGAUGGAACAUUCAAAGAAAGAAAAAUGGAUUAGUAAGUUCAUAGUAGAUGUAGGGUUGCAAUCUGUUGACUGGAGGAGAGUUGCAGAUUACUUGAUCUUGAAUCUGAAGCUGGAGAGUGAGUUUAUUGUAACUCUCUUUGAUAAAUGUAAAGCUCUAGUUGAUUUUGGGGAGAACAUAGUAGACUUCUCAGUAGUUAAUUUUCAGACUGAUCUAGGAACUAUUACAAUCUUCAGAUGGAAUCCUCUCUCUAAUGCCAAAAACUUCUCUAUUGAAGAUGGGGUUCUGGUAUGGAUAAUCGGAUUGCCUUUCCAUCUUUGGAAGCAAGACGUAGCAGAUGUCAUUGCACUUAUGUGUGGAGGGAGACUGGAUGGUGCUUACUAAGGAGACCUCCAUUCUGCAGCUAUUCUCCUGAGCUGAGUGAGGCUUGAAGAUAUACCAAGGAAGGUGGAAAUAAGAGUGGAGGGUAUUUUCGUUUCCGUCUGGUUGGCUUCCUUCAUUGAAGCAGGCUUGUGGAAGGAAGCUAGAAUGGAGGGAGGUGAGGAGUUUGAGGAAGAAGUUGUACGUGGAAGAAGCAUAUUAGAGGAUUCAAAAAAGACUAGAAGUUAUACUAAAAUGGGUCAACAGCUUCUGGGGAGCCAAAAAGACUUGGGACAUAUGGAAAGUCAAAGGCUUAAAACACAAGAAACCCCUCUGACGCAUAGCAGAACCUUUGCACGGGUGGUUGGGAACACUACCACGGAAAACUUUAAUUUUGAAGAGGGGAGUAAAGAGGUGACAAGUGUUAAAUAGCAAGUUGAAUUAAGAAACAGGGCGGUUGAACCAGGAGUUGAGGUGGGUGACAUAACUGAAAACCCUAUUGAUCUCAAUACUGAUUUUAUGACAUGAUUCACUUUAAUUGGACUUCUUUAAUGGUGGUGCAACAGUGAAGUGGAAGAGCUGUCAAUAGUAAAGAUGGGAAGGAAGAUGUGUUCCAUGGAAGAAUGGU
Non-coding RNA from Nelumbo nucifera (sacred lotus), 2314 nucleotides. Lineage: Eukaryota; Viridiplantae; Streptophyta; Magnoliopsida; Proteales; Nelumbonaceae. The record is from RefSeq and is a predicted model, not a curated record.